CCUACGGGCGGCAGCAGUGGGGGAUAUUGCACAAUGGGGGAAACCCUGAUGCAGCGACGCCGCGUGCGUGAAGAAGUAUUUCGGUAUGUAAAGCUCUAUCAUCAGGGAAGAAAAUGACAGUACCUGACCAAGAAGCCCCGGCUAACUACGUGCCAGCAGCCGCGGUAAAACUGAGGGGGCAAGCGUUAUCCGGAUUGACGGGGUUGAAAGGUAGCGUAAACGGUUAUGUAAGUCUGGAGUGAAAGCCCGGGGCCCAACCCCGGGACUGCUUUGGAAACUGUGUAACUGGAGUACAGGAGGGGCAGGCGGAAUGCCUGGUGUAGCGGUGAAAUGCGUAGAUAUCAGGAGGAACACCAGCGGCGAAGGCGGCCUGCUGGACUGAAACUGACGUUGAGGCUCGAAAGCGUGGGGAGCAAACAGGAUUAGAUACCCUUGUAGUC
Molecule: ribosomal RNA, 440 nt
Filed under: uncultured bacterium
Lineage: Bacteria
Description: partial 16S ribosomal RNA
Rfam family: Bacterial small subunit ribosomal RNA
Source: RNAcentral